RNAcentral lists this ribosomal RNA (474 nucleotides) under Trigonopterus sp. 596 AR-2022a. RNAcentral describes it as "SSU rRNA". It matches the Rfam family "Eukaryotic small subunit ribosomal RNA", at positions 76 to 527 of the family's 1831-position model. The record is from RNAcentral. Lineage: Eukaryota; Metazoa; Arthropoda; Insecta; Coleoptera; Curculionidae.
UUAAGGUGAAACCGCGAAAGGCUCAUUAAAUCAGUUAUGGUUCCUUAGAUCGUACCCACAAUUACUUGGAUAACUGUGGUAAUUCUAGAGCUAAUACAUGCAAACAGAGCUCCGACCGGAGACGGAAGGAGUGCUUUUAUUAGAUCAAAACCAAUCGGUGGCGGGUUCGCCCGUUAUCGUACAACUUGGUGACUCUGAAUAACUUUACGCUGAUCGCACGGUCAUCGCACCGGCGACGCAUCUUUCAAAUGUCUGCCUUAUCAACUGUCGAUGGUAGGUUCUGCGCCUACCAUGGUUGUAACGGGUAACGGGGAAUCAGGGUUCGAUUCCGGAGAGGGAGCCUGAGAAACGGCUACCACAUCCAAGGAAGGCAGCAGGCGCGCAAAUUACCCACUCCCGGCACGGGGAGGUAGUGACGAAAAAUAACGAUACGGGACUCAUCCGAGGCCCCGUAAUCGGAAUGAGUACACUCUA